This is an RNA transcript of Phyllopteryx taeniolatus (common seadragon), 2849 nucleotides long. It is a transcript of the gene named nuclear cap-binding protein subunit 1, with no coding region annotated. NCBI's taxonomy places the organism in Eukaryota, Metazoa, Chordata, Actinopteri, Syngnathiformes, Syngnathidae. The transcript is spliced from 23 exons. The record is from RefSeq and is a predicted model, not a curated record.
CUUGUUACCGGAUGUGUGUCUCACUUGAAUGGGCCGGCUAGCAAGCUAGGCUAUUUGUCGCCGGUUGCCGCCAAGGUGCGUUGCUACGUCAAAGGCGCAUUUUCACGGUUUCUUCUACAUUAAUUUCAUUUUUUUGUACAAUACUCACGGCGGGACCGAUUAAAACAUGUCCAGGAGACGACACAGUGACUCCUAUGACGGAGGCCAGGAUCACAAGAGGAGGAGAACCUCUGAGCCCACCGAGAUUGAAGACAGCCUGGAGUCUCUGAUAUGCAACGUGGGAGAAAAGAGCAAGUCGUCCUUGGAGAGCAACCUGGAGGGGCUCGCCGGCGUGUUGGAGGCCGACCUUCCCAACUACAAGAACAAAAUCCUUCGCAUUUUAUGUGCCGUGGCUCGCCUCCUCCCCGAGAAGCUGACGGUGUACACCACGCUGGUGGGCCUCCUCAACGCCAGGAACUACAACUUUGGCGGCGAGUUUGUGGAAGCCAUGAUCCGGCAGCUAAAGGAGACGCUGAAGAACAACCUUUACAGCGAGGCCGUUUACUUGGUGCGCUUUCUGUCCGACUUGGUCAACUGCCACGUGAUUGCCGCGCCAUCCAUGGUGGCCAUGUUUGAGAACUUUGUCAGCGUUACGCAGGAGGAAGAUGUACCGCAGGUUCGGUCUGAUUGGUUUGUGUUCGUGGUGCUGUCCUGCCUGCCGUGGGUGGGCAAGGAGCUCUACGAAAAGAAGGAUGUGGAGAUGGACCGACUCCUCAGCCAGAUUGAAGGCUACCUCAAGAGGCGAGUGAAGACUCAUCUCCCGAUGCUUCAGGUGUGGACCGCUGAGAAACCCCACCCACAAGAAGAGUACCUAGACUGCCUUUGGGCGCAGAUCCAGAAGCUGAAGAAAGACCGCUGGCUGGAGCGCCACAUCCUGCGGCCGUACAUCGCCUUCGACAGUGUGCUGUGCGAGGCCCUGCAGCACAACUUGCCCCCCUUCACGCCGCCGGGGCACAUGCCCGACGCCCAGUACCCCAUGCCUCGCGUCAUCUUCCGCAUGUUCGACUACACCGAUGCCCCCGAGGGUCCGGUCAUGCCCGGCAGUCAUUCUGUGGAGAGGUUUGUCAUCGAAGAGAACCUGCACUGCAUCAUGAAGACUCAUUGGAAAGAGCGCAGAACCUGCGCCGCCCAGUUGCUCAACUACCCCGGCAAAAAUAAGAUCCCGCUCAACUAUCACAUUGUGGAGGUGAUUUUUGGAGAACUUUUCCAGCUGCCCUCACCGCCUCACCUCAACGUCAUGUACACGUCACUGCUGAUCGAGCUGUGCAAACUGCAGCCCGGUUCGCUACCGCAAGUCUUGGCCCAAGCCACAGAGAUGCUCUACAUGCGCCUAGACACCAUGAACACUACCUGCAUUGACAGACUCAUCAACUGGUUCUCCCACCACCUGAGCAACUUCCAGUUCCGAUGGAGCUGGGACGACUGGGCUGACUGUUUGACGUUGGAUCUCGAGAAACCCAAACCCAAAUUUGUCAAAGAGGUUCUGGAGAAGUGUAUGAGGUUGUCCUACCACCAAAGGAUGGUGGAAAUUGUCCCGCCCACCUUCGCCGCCCUCAUCCCGGCCGAGCCCGUCUUCAUUUACAAAUACGCCGACGAAAGCGCUUCGAUGUUGCCGGGUUACCCCUUGUCCAUCACCGUCAGCAACGCCAUUAAGAACCGAGCGUCCAACGAGGAGAUCCUCACCAUCCUCAAAGACGUGCCCAACCCCAACCAGGAUGACGAUGACGACGAAGGCGAGAGCUUCAACCCGUUGAAGCUGGAUGUCUUCUUGCAGACGCUUCUUCACCUGGCUGCGAAAUCCUUCAGCCACUCGUUCAGCGCCCUCGGCAAGUUUCACGAGAUCCUGAAGAACCUGACCGAGAGCGAUGAGGGCAAACUGCACAUUCUCAAGGUGAUCUACGAGGUGUGGAAGAACCACCCGCAGAUGAUCGCCGUGCUGGUGGACAAGAUGAUCCGCACGCAGAUUGUGGACUGCGCCGCCGUGGCCAACUGGCUCUUUUCUCAGGACAUGGCUCACGAGUUCACGAGACUUUACGUAUGGGAGAUCCUGCACUCGACCAUCCGCAAGAUGAACAAACACGUCCAAAAGAUCCAGAAGGAGUUGGAGGAGGCAAAGGACAAGUUGGAGAAGCAGCAAAAUAAGAGGCCACCGUUACUCGCCUCCGUUACUACUCGUAACCAAUUAGCGGGUGGAUUUCAACUCAGUACGUCUUGUCUGUUGGUGUCGGGCAGCCGAGAGACAGCGGCGACGAAGAGGACAUGGAGAAGAACAGUGAGGACGAGGAGGGUCAGCUGGAGGAACAGAUCGAGAGGCUGCAGGAGAAGGUGGAGGCGGCCCAGAGCGAGCAGAAGAAUCUCUUCCUUGUCAUCUUCCAGCGCUUCAUCAUGCUGUUAACGGAGCAUCUGGUGCGCUGCGAGACGGGCAGCGUCAAUGUAAGCACGCCGUGGUACAAGAACUGCGUGGAGAGGCUGCAGCAGAUCUUCCUCAUGCACCACGUGACCAUCCAGCAGUACAUGGGCACGCUGGAGAACCUGCUGUUCACGGCUGAGCUGGACCACCACAUCCUGGCCGUCUACCAGCAGUUUUGUGCCCUUCAGCUCUGAAAAUCCUCAGCGGAACGUUCCGGCUCUUGCAUCAAGAAUCCCCCCCAGCCAUUAAAAAAAAAUAAUAAUUUUAUUUACGACGCCGUUUUUUUUUUUUACAGGUUCCCUUUGAUGGACUCCAAGUCCAGAGAGAACCUUUUGAUUUUUUUUUAAUAUUUGUUUUAUGUGGAAUUGAAAAGGAAUUAAAAACUCUGAAGUCCUUUAAA